AAUGUAACUCUUUAUGGUUGAUGUAUAACAAUGAUUCAAGUUAGUCUAAGGUAGGUGUACAGGGCAUUAUUUUUCUGUAUUAAAGAAAGAGAUAAAUGUAGUGCGUUUUCAAAAUAAAUUAUUUUAUUCAUUGCUUAUUAAGGGAAAAAAACAUGGUCAGUUCAUUAGAAUACUGAUGUAGCUUCACAGUGGCAAUAAUUUGAUCAAUUAUUAUUUGAUGUGAUGGAAAUAAAGAAACCUUCACAGAUAUCAGAGAAAAGUGAAGAUAACUCCUCUAUCAAAUGCCAUCAAUGUAUUUCAAAUCAUCGUUUACUAAAUAAUUAGCUUAAGCUUUUAAAAAUGGAGAAGGCUAGACUUUUAGAUUACUCUAUUAGAAGAAAAAGAAUUCUUCCUAAGUGCAUACAAUCUGUAUUUUGGCCAGGGAGCAUAUAAUGGAUUUGUAAAUGCUUUACUGAGACUAAGCAUGAACUUAAUUUGGGUAAUAAAAAGAAAAUUUUUAAAAGGGCGGGAUGAGUACAAAACCAGUAUGUUCAUAGUUAAACAUUCAGAAAGAGAAG
Long non-coding RNA from Sapajus apella (tufted capuchin), 557 nucleotides. RefSeq lists it as uncharacterized. The transcript has 4 exons. The record is from RefSeq and is a predicted model, not a curated record. Lineage: Eukaryota; Metazoa; Chordata; Mammalia; Primates; Cebidae.